CCACCAAUCAUGAUGUAUUUCCGAUUGUAACGGUCCCCAAGGUAACCAAAGAGCGGUGCCAAAAGCAAGAAACUGCAGAUGAAAACUCUUUACUCAAUUCCCACAUUGCUCAGUUCCACUGGGGGCUCAGAUGCAGGACCCUGCUGUGGUGGAGGAUCUCCUGGAGGAAAGGACUGCCAGCGUCACCCAAGAGAUGCAUGACUGUUGUCUGGAGAGCCUCAGCUGUGGAUCUUCUUGUUGGAA
This is a long non-coding RNA of Plectropomus leopardus (leopard coralgrouper), 243 nucleotides long. RefSeq lists it as uncharacterized. Lineage: Eukaryota; Metazoa; Chordata; Actinopteri; Perciformes; Serranidae. The record is from RefSeq and is a predicted model, not a curated record.